CCUACGGGAGGCAGCAGUGGGGAAUAUUGCACAAUGGGCGCAAGCCUGAUGCAGCGACGCCGCGUGAGGGAUGACGGCCUUCGGGUUGUAAACCUCUUUCAGUAGGGAAGAAGCGAAAGUGACGGUACCUGCAGAAGAAGCGCCGGCUAACUACGUGCCAGCAGCCGCGGUAAUACGUAGGGCGCAAGCGUUAUCCGGAAUUAUUGGGCGUAAAGAGCUCGUAGGCGGUUUGUCGCGUCUGCCGUGAAAGUCCGGGGCUCAACUCCGGAUCUGCGGUGGGUACGGGCAGACUAGAGUGAUGUAGGGGAGACUGGAAUUCCUGGUGUAGCGGUGAAAUGCGCAGAUAUCAGGAGGAACACCGAUGGCGAAGGCAGGUCUCUGGGCAUUAACUGACGCUGAGGAGCGAAAGCAUGGGGAGCGAACAGGAUUAGAUACCCUGGUAGUCCAUGCGUAACGUAGGCGACUGGUGUGGGACGAUCUCGUUCGUCGCGUGCUACGCAUAGUGCCGCCGCGGGAGGUACGGCCGGCGACGGACGUAAACGUUAAACGGUAAAGUUAGUUACGGUCGUUGAGACGUUGCCGACGGCGACGACGAGGGAGGAGG
Molecule: ribosomal RNA, 604 nt
Filed under: uncultured bacterium
Lineage: Bacteria
Description: bacterial SSU rRNA
Rfam family: Bacterial small subunit ribosomal RNA (bases 1-510)
Source: RNAcentral